AACGCGUGAGGAACCUGCCUUGGAGAGGGGGAGUAACACUCCGAAAGGAGUGCUAAUACGCAUGAUGCAGUUGGGUCGCAUGGCUCUGACUGCCAAAGAUUUAUCGCUCUGAGAUGGCCUCGCGUCUGAUUAGCUAGUAGGUGGGGUAACGGCCCACCUAGGCGACGAUCAGUAGCCGGACUGAGAGGUUGACCGGCCACAUUGGGACUGAGACACGGCCCAGACUCCUACGGGAGGCAGCAUG
RNAcentral lists this ribosomal RNA (244 nucleotides) under uncultured bacterium. RNAcentral's name for it is "partial 16S ribosomal RNA". It matches the Rfam family "Bacterial small subunit ribosomal RNA", at positions 112 to 353 of the family's 1533-position model. The record is from RNAcentral.